Molecule: non-coding RNA, 120 nt
Organism: Glycine max (soybean)
Lineage: Eukaryota; Viridiplantae; Streptophyta; Magnoliopsida; Fabales; Fabaceae
Source: Rfam
AAAGUGGGAUGAAGCCAAGGAUGACUUGCCGACAUUAAUUUGCCAUUAAGCUAACGAGUUAGGUAGAAUCAUUUGUUAGAUUUUCCCGGCAGGUCAUCCUCUGGCUAUAUUUGGCUUUCU